RNAcentral lists this transfer RNA (73 nucleotides) under Camelus bactrianus (Bactrian camel). It matches the Rfam family "tRNA". Rfam says of the family: Transfer RNA (tRNA) molecules are approximately 80 nucleotides in length. Their secondary structure includes four short double-helical elements and three loops (D, anti-codon, and T loops). Further hydrogen bonds mediate the characteristic L-shaped molecular structure. tRNAs have two regions of fundamental functional importance: the anti-codon, which is responsible for specific mRNA codon recognition, and the 3' end, to which the tRNAs corresponding amino acid is attached (by aminoacyl-tRNA synthetases). tRNAs cope with the degeneracy of the genetic code in two manners: having more than one tRNA (with a specific anti-codon) for a particular amino acid; and 'wobble' base-pairing, i.e. permitting non-standard base-pairing at the 3rd anti-codon position. The record is from Rfam by way of RNAcentral. Lineage: Eukaryota; Metazoa; Chordata; Mammalia; Artiodactyla; Camelidae. RNAcentral also lists the same sequence under 2 other names.
GAGGGUAUAGCUCAAGUGGUAGAGCGCAUGCUUAGCAUGCACAAGGCCCUGGGUUCAAUCCCCAGUACCUCCU